Bactrocera latifrons is the source of this 443-nucleotide long non-coding RNA. RefSeq lists it as uncharacterized. The transcript has 3 exons. NCBI's taxonomy places the organism in Eukaryota, Metazoa, Arthropoda, Insecta, Diptera, Tephritidae. The record is from RefSeq and is a predicted model, not a curated record.
AUUGAUAGAAAGUGUGUAUGUCACAGGAUCUUGAGCCGGAACAUUUCGUGUGCUUCAAAUAAAUAUUUAUAACAAUGUUCACAAAUCGCAUAAAAAAUUCUACCGGCGAAAUGAAUAACAGGAAAAAACAGAUCGUUCCCUGAGAGACAAUAGUUGCAAACACAAGGCAACCAGAAAAACGAUAGAACCAUGUCGGGCCAAUGUUCGGAUAAUUGUAGGGGUGGAUUCGCAUUUAUUACAAGAAACUUUUAGUAUCAACUGGCACCGUGUUCGUCCGCGAAUCGAAUGACUGUCGUUUUUCAAAGUCUUCGUUACCCGUUUCUUCGUCGCUACUCGUUGUCUAUUCCGAUCAAUGUUGCAUGUUACUGUCCGUACGUUCGUCCACUUCUAGUCUGUCAUUUGUUCGUUCCCACAUAAAUACAUACAAAAAUGAGUUUUUGUUA